UGUUGUUGUAGACAAUAUGAGCACUUGAUAUCCAUAAUUCAUGGUACAAAUUGAUAAUGAGUUAGGUAAAUGUUCCAUGAUAAUGGAUUAGGUAAAUAUUCCAUGAUAAUGGGUUAGGUAAAUGUUCCAUGAUAAUGGUUUAGGUAAAUGUUCCAUGAUUGGCAUUUCAUGUCUUUUGUAGAAUUAAAUGGAUGAUAUAUGAA
RNAcentral lists this long non-coding RNA (203 nucleotides) under Gossypium barbadense (sea-island cotton). Its description in RNAcentral is "long non-coding RNA (GBAR_LNC006403)". The record is from RNAcentral. Lineage: Eukaryota; Viridiplantae; Streptophyta; Magnoliopsida; Malvales; Malvaceae.